Molecule: long non-coding RNA, 4908 nt
Organism: Gallus gallus (chicken)
Lineage: Eukaryota; Metazoa; Chordata; Aves; Galliformes; Phasianidae
Source: Ensembl
UCCAUAGAAUGAAAACACGGAAGGAUUUCAAAGCUGGCAGAACACUAAAGGCAAAACACUAAGUAGUUUCCAAAUCAUAAUCACUAACAACUGUAUAUGACUUCUGGAAGAGUUUAGAUAUGUUUGCGGGCCUGAGAGAAUACACACUCUGUCUGAAGAAUGGAAAGUGCAGAUAGGAUUCUGCUCUAGAGGAUGAAUUCUGGAAUGAACAGUGCUGCAAAUGAAAAGUAAGGCAGCGUGAAUAGCUGGUGUCCAUCUGUCACCAGGCGUGCCUACAAGAGAAAGUUUCAUGCCUAACCCAUUACUGCUUGUUAUUCAGAACACUAAAUUAAUACAUAAAAGGAAGCAGUUCUACUCCUUGUGCCUGAUAGCUAGGCAGCAAUUGUGUCCUAAUAGUAGCAGGGUUUUUUUUUAUUUUAUUUUCUAUGUGCAUUUAUGUCCUAAUGAAUUUUAGAUUGUGCUGACAUAUGCUUUUAACUGAAAGCAGAAGGUGUUUAGAACAGAGGGCAUGGAUAGUGGUUUGUCAUGUUUUUGUUUAGUGGAGCAGUUUCUCCAUACAGAGGAGCAGUUACUGUUAUAUGAAGAUCCAUAGGAAAAGGGAAAACUCUGUAGGAAAAUAGCUGAUCUCAGAGAAUAACAGUGCUUUCUUAUGGUUGUAUUUUGCAAGAAGCAACACCAAACCCAAGUCUGGCAGUUUUUAACUUGGCAGACUGGAAGCCGGAGUGACCAGGCAGCACUCAAAGCUCACAGGGGGCAACCUAAUACCCCUGGCAGUGCUCUCGAGGAGAAUCGGUUCAACACAAGUAUCACAUAUUCAAGUUUUCCUUCAUGUUGGUCUUCAUUUUCAGGAAAAGCAAAAUCAUUCUGUAUUGCUUUAUUUCACAAUGAUUGGGUAGUAGAGACUUCCCCUAAUAUAGGGUUGUCUUUAAUGUAACCAAAGCACUCUCACUUAAUUAUCCACUGCUAUUUUUUUUUUUUAACAUUAUUUGAUUUGUGUUCCAAUUUCCAGGAUGUAGGGUAGAACAGUCCCAUUAAGAGCAAAGGCUUACCAUAUUUUUAACCUUGUAGCCCUCCAGUGGGGCUUCACCUGUACGCUACCAGUGAGGACUCCUUUCAGAUGUCUGUCUUAAAUCUUCUGCAGCAAAUCCAAAUACUGUAUUAGUGAAAGGAUAUGUGCUUAUUUAGUGUCCAUGCAAAGACACCCCUCGGUGUGGGUGUGUUGCGCAGUAAAAAUGAACAACAAGGACCAUCAGAGAAUAGACUUUCUUUUUGAGCCCAAGUGAUUUGUUAAACCAAUGAAGCAUGUUUAAGAAAGUCUUCCAUACCAAAAGCACUUUCAAAGCAUGGUGCUGUUUAACCUCUAGAUGUAUUGAUGUCAAUUGUGAGACUGAAACUUUGGGCUUCAAAGGAGAUCAGACUCCUUGUACUUGUGCCUUUGGGCUUCCCAGUGAGUCUCUGUGGUCAAAUUAGGUGUGAGUGAAACCCCAUCCCUUUGUUUUUGAAAGAUCUAUUAGGAAGCUAGAUGUAAUGCAUUUUCAUCAUUUUCUGAAAGAUCUUUUCCCUUUAUUGAACAUCUAUUUUGUUUUAAUUCUUUAGGCUUUUUGCUUUUUUUUCCCUUAGAAAAAUAGGAAAGUAAAAAAUGGGAAAAGAAAAAAAAAAUUCCAGAAGGGUUCUGAGUAGAAGAGCUUUUGUACAAAACACCUCACUCCUAACUCAGUGCUUCAAUCCUCUGAUGCAAUCAGUGUCCAGAGAUGUAGGGUGCCAGUGUCAAGCUGUUUCUUUCUGAAGCAAGUCACCAGUGUUGCUGCUUUUUAUUUUGAGCCAUGCCUGUCAUAUGUGACAAUUGCGUUUGGUUUUUGUUAUGAUUUUUAGUACUGCUCAUUUCAUGCAUGGAACAUUGGCCAUGUCUGAUGUAACAUCAUGCACUAUUCUAUUUGACUUGUUCUUUAUUUUUGUUGUUCUGACUGACAUACAGGAGCAUACUUGGGAUCUUGAUUUUGUGUGUUAAAUUCUGGAGUUGUAAAUUUGAAUGUGAUAUACCUCACAGAACUACUAGUAAAUAUUUCAACAAAAUAGUAAGCUAAUAUUACGGAUGGGCAGUGAAUUAUCUCCCUUGCUAUGUGGUGGCUGCAAAUGCAGACUUAGGACCCAAUCAGUGGUAUUUGCUGUUGUUGCUGACUCUAUUAUCCAUAGUUGCUGCUUAAAUGGAUGAGCUGUUUCUGAAAGGAAAUCAGUAGCCAUGUCAUCCAUCACAACACAAUUGGCAAAUGCAACACGUUUCUUCACCUUUGAUUUACGAGGGGGACCAGAACUUUCCUUUGCUGGGCACACAGCAGUAGUGUGCUACUGCUCAACUCAAGUUUCAGGCUGCUCUGAAGGGGCACAUUCAAGUCUCUUCUCUCCUUUUUUGUUUUUGACAAGUUCAGCAGGAUAAAAUUAGAGCUGAAGGCAGUGAGAUUCCUUCUUAUACUGUCCUCCACACUCAAUAGAACAUAAAUGGUAGCAAAACUGAGGGUAACUGGAUUUGUUGGAGGGAGAAGGUAUUUGAAUAUCACUAUUAAAAGGUGACGAGAAAUUGUAUCCUCUAUUUUUAGACAGUAAUUUCUUUGUAAAUAGCAUACUUGUAUCUACAAGUAGAUAAAAAUACAGUAAAAGAUUUGAAAUACGCAGGAUAAAAAAAAUGUAAUAUUUCAAGAAUCAAGUUGCUAACAAGGCUCUGUACCAUAAAUCUAUCAAGAACUUCCCAUCUAAAUAGCAUCCUUUGCUCUGCCACAGGCUUUGAUGAAGACUUCAAAUCAAAUGGCAUCAGAAUUUUUAACACUAAGUAAGGUCCUAACUUUUCAUGCAAAUAUGUGAUAGCAGCAUUAUGUACCUAGGUGUGUAUUGGCUUACAAUUCCCAAAGCAUGUUUUUUCAGAGCCCUGUACUUGAGGAUAUGCCUUAGGAAGUGCAGUUUCGCUUAGGGGAAAUGGCUGCCAUCUGCACUCCUCCCAGCGUCCUACGCCGAGUUCGUGCUGUUGUGCAUUUAGCAGUGACCUGCGUGACUGAUGUUUAGAGAUGCUGUCAGCACAUCUGCUGAUUUGUUGUUGAAUUCUUCUUUGACUUGUCAUUAGCAAGCCUGAGAAUACAUUCUCCGGCCCCAAAUGUUGCAUACAGAGGUUGAGGAACAUUGGAGUGUUUAAAAGCUCAUUUCCUCAUGCCUCUCCUAAAUUUUUAAAUAUCUUCUUAGAGGCUGGAAAACAGUUUCUUCCAUAACAGUUUUUUUCCCCUCCUCCAUCAUUUAUAUAACUCUGGAUUUUCCCCCGUGUUUCUACGAUAGUGUUUAUUUCCUUUUUGCACAUUAUGCAAACAAACCUCAAAUGAUAUUGGCAGGGUUUUCUGUAACUUUACAAGUUGUCCCAGUGUGCACAACAAUGCUUUUUUUGUUUCCCCCCCACAAAAAUGUCUGUCAACUCCUCUCACUCUUCCAACAAAAGAAAGUCUACAGAAAAUAUUUGUGGACUGAGCUUCACCAGGAAGUUCAGCAGCUGAGUUGGUCAGUGAGCAGGAUGCUGCAAGGGAUCCUUCACCAGUCUCACCCUCUCUUUGUGUCUGGGUGAUGCCAUGGUGAGCCAGAGUAAUCAGCAUCCUCAUCUUUUACUGGGUUCCCUAACAACGUCUCUAGGGAGGAUUUUGAAUAGUCCCAAAUCUGCACUUCGACUGGUGUUACCGGAAAGCAGGCUGCUGAGGAAGUAGAAGCACAGGUUCCAUGAGCACUCUACCAGCCACACAUUUCAAUAACUUUGCAACUCAUUUGGUUUAAUGUGCAAAUUGUAGUGCCCAGAGGGUGAAGUUUAACCAGAGGCUACAUAAAAAUUGAAUGUUUUCAUUUUCCUUUUUUGGGCUGAGAAAAACUCAAAAAACUCGAAGUGGGCAGAGUAAAAUAGACGCCUGUAAAGUCUCAUGCCUUUUAGUAGUAAUACAAAUACAGAUACAAAACAAUCCUCAAACUUCACCAUGACAGGGUUUCCUUAAUGUGAUUUAAAGUGGCUUAGGGUGAACAAUACUGUAAGCUUUGUAGCCUCUCAGAUGGCCAAAAAAUAAGAAAACUCUCAUCUGAAACCCUACCUGAUGAUAAUGGUAGUUUGAACUUCAGUCCAGCUGUGGCACGCAAAGCAGCAGAACUGGUGGAGUCAUGCAAGUCACCCAAAAAUUUGUUGUACUCUAAUGCUGUAACUUUAAAAAUAUAUGCUGUGAACAGGUUCAAUGGUUCAAUGUUUUGUUUUGUUGGGGUUUUUUUUUAGGUCUUUUUAUACUGUCUUUUUACAGCAUAAGUAAUUUUUUUUAGAGAUGGUUUUGUGUUCUAUUUUUACAAAUAUUUUAAUGGACUUUUGUUUAAUAGUAGUGAAAAUAUUGUUUGCCAAUUUGAAAUGUUCAUCUAUAGAAAUUAGUCCUGAGAAUAAAUCAAUAAAUCAUACUGUCAAAACAGUCAUCCUAAUGCAUUAAACCUAACCAGUCAUUUAACAUAGUUCUGUUGUUGAAUGAUACCGAAGUUUUCCAGCUUCCAAAUCUGUUACUCAAAAAAGAUUUUCACAUUUUAAAAUAAUCAUACAGCACUUUAAUGAAGUUGUAGUAUACCAAGUAAAGUAGUGAUUCAACAGUGUGUAUCAACAAGAAAAUUUAUUAGCUUAGCAAUUAAACAAAUGCAUGCUUGAAAAUGGAAGCAUGGGAUCACGAUGGGGAAAUAAUAUUCCAGUGGGUUAGAUGACGUGAGACUAACCUAAGGCACCAACUUUGCAAAUGUUUUAAAACUAGUUUGCUUGGCUGUUGUAAUUCUUGUUGUAUUGCUUGUGUGUCUAAAAACAUGCAUGUAUUUAACAAUUUUACCAUAGUAUUGCCAUGGAAUUUAAUAAAUAUAUUUUCUUACGCU